AGUGAACGCUGGCGGUAGGCCUAACACAUGCAAGUCGAACGGCAGCACAGUAAGAGCUUGCUCUUACGGGUGGCGAGUGGCGGACGGGUGAGGAAUACAUCGGACUCUACUUUUUCGUGGGGGAUAACGUAGGGAAACUUACGCUAAUACCGCAUACGACCUACGGGUGAAAGCAGGGGAUCUUCGGACCUUGCGCGAUUGAAUGAGCCGAUGUCGGAUUAGCUAGUUGGCGGGGUAAAGGCCCACCAAGGCGACGAUCCGUAGCUGGUCUGAGAGGAUGAUCAGCCACACUGGGACGGAGACACGGUCCAGACUCCUGAGGGAGGCAGCAGUGGGGAAUAUUGGACGAUGGGGGCAAACCGGAUCCAGCCAUACCGCGUGAGUGAAGAAGGCCUUGGGGUUGUAGAGCCCUUUUGUUGGGAAAGAAAAGCAGCAGGUUAAUACCCCGCUGUUCUGACGGUACCCAAAGAAUAAGCACCGGCUAACUACGUG
This 492-nucleotide ribosomal RNA is filed under the name uncultured bacterium. RNAcentral describes it as "partial 16S ribosomal RNA". It matches the Rfam family "Bacterial small subunit ribosomal RNA", at positions 29 to 507 of the family's 1533-position model. The record is from RNAcentral.